GACGAACGCUGGCGGCGUGCUUAACACAUGCAAGUCGAACGGUAAGGCCCUUCGGGGUACACGAGUGGAGAACGGGUGAGUAACAAGUGGGUGAUCUGCCCUGCACUUCGGGAUACGCCCGGGAAACUGGGUCUAAUACCGGAUAGGACUCCGGACUUCCUGGUCUGGGGUGGAACGCUUUUGAGGUGAGGGAUGAGCCCGCGGCCUAUCAGGUUGUUGGUGGGGUGAUGGCCUACCAAGGCGACGACGGGUAGCUGGCAUGAGAGGGUGACCGGCCACACUGGGACUGAGAUACGGCCCAGACUCCUACGGGAGGCAGCAGUGGGGAAUAUUGCACAAUGGGCGCAAGCCUGAUGCAGCGACGCCGCGUGAGGGAUGACGGCCUUCGGGUUGUAAACCUGUUUCAGCACAGACGAAGCGCAAGUGACGGUAUGUGCAGAAGAAGGACCGGCCAACUACGUGCCAGCCGCCGCUGUAA
This 478-nucleotide ribosomal RNA is filed under the name uncultured bacterium. Its description in RNAcentral is "partial 16S ribosomal RNA". It matches the Rfam family "Bacterial small subunit ribosomal RNA", at positions 28 to 523 of the family's 1533-position model. The record is from RNAcentral.